This 159-nucleotide unclassified non-coding RNA is filed under the name Brucella sp. 191011898. RNAcentral's name for it is "BASRCI153". The record is from RNAcentral. Lineage: Bacteria; Pseudomonadati; Pseudomonadota; Alphaproteobacteria; Hyphomicrobiales; Brucellaceae.
GCAUUUUCCAGCAAAAAGUGUGAAACGCCUAUGCGGGGGAAAUUAGUCCACUGGACUGAUUUCUGAUACCGCUUCGAUAGGUAGAAUAAUGCGGCAAAACAAAUCGUUAGAGCGGUUCCGGCGAUUCUGUUAAAAUAGGAACCGCUCUAGAGAGCAGCC